This 489-nucleotide ribosomal RNA is filed under the name uncultured bacterium. RNAcentral describes it as "partial 16S ribosomal RNA". It matches the Rfam family "Bacterial small subunit ribosomal RNA", at positions 28 to 507 of the family's 1533-position model. The record is from RNAcentral.
GAUGAACGCUAGCUACAGGCUUAACACAUGCAAGUCGAGGGGCAGCAUGAACUUAGCUUGCUCAGUUUGAUGGCGACCGGCGCACGGGUGAGUAACACGUAUCCAACCUGCCGAUGACUCGGGGAUAGCCUUUCGAAAGAAAGAUUAAUACCCGAUGGCAUAGUUCUUCCGCAUGGUAGAACUAUUAAAGAAUUUCGGUCAUCGAUGGGGAUGCGUUCCAUUAGGUUGUUGGCGGGGUAACGGCCCACCAAGCCUUCGAUGGAUAGGGGUUCUGAGAGGAAGGUCCCCCACAUUGGAACUGAGACACGGUCCAAACUCCUACGGGAGGCAGCAGUGAGGAAUAUUGGUCAAUGGACGAGAGUCUGAACCAGCCAAGUAGCGUGAAGGAGGACUGCCCUAUGGGUUGUAAACUUCUUUUAUACGGGAAUAAAGUGAGGCACGUGUGCCUUUUUGUAUGUACCGUAUGAAUAAGGAUCGGCUAACUCCGUG